AAUCCAUAGGUUAAUGAGGCGAACCGGGGGAACUGAAACAUCUAAGUACCCCGAGGAAAAGAAAUCAACCGAGAUUCCCCCAGUAGCGGCGAGCGAACGGGGAGGAGCCCAGAGCCUGAAUCAGCAUGUGUGUUAGUGGAAGCGUCUGGAAAGGCGCGCGAUACAGGGUGACAGCCCCGUACACAAAAGCGCAUGUGCUGUGAGCUCGAUGAGUAGGGCGGGACACGUGGUAUCCUGUCUGAAUAUGGGGGGACCAUCCUCCAAGGCUAAAUACUCCUGACUGACCGAUAGUGAACCAGUACCGUGAGGGAAAGGCGAAAAGAACCCCGGCGAGGGGAGUGAAAAAGAACCUGAAACCGUGUACGUACAAGCAGUGGGAGCACCCUUUGGGUGUGACUGCGUACCUUUUGUAUAAUGGGUCAGCGACUUAUAUUCUGUAGCAAGGUUAACCGAAUAGGGGAGCCGGAGGGAAACCGAGUCUUAACCGGGCGUUAAGUUGCAGGGUAUAGACCCGAAACCCGGUGAUCUAGCCAUGGGCAGGUUGAAGGUUGGGUAACACUAACUGGAGGACCGAACCGACUAAUGUUGAAAAAUUAGCGGAUGACCUGUGGCUGGGGGUGAAAGGCCAAUCAAACCGGGAGAUAGCUGGUUCUCCCCGAAAGCUAUUUAGGUAGCGCCUCGUGAAUUCAUCUCCGGGGGUAGAGCACUGUUUCGGCUAGGGGGCCAUCCCGGCUUACCAACCCGAUGCAAACUGCGAAUACCGGAGAAUGUUAUCACGGGAGACACACGGCGGGUGCUAACGUCCGUCGUGAAGAGGGAAACAACCCAGACCGCCAGCUAAGGUCCCAAAGUCAUGGUUAAGUGGGAAACGAUGUGGGAAGGCCCAGACAGCCAGGAUGUUGGCUUAGAAGCAGCCAUCAUUUAAAGAAAGCGUAAUAGCUCACUGGUCGAGUCGGCCUGCGCGGAAGAU
Molecule: ribosomal RNA, 970 nt
Filed under: Salmonella enterica
Lineage: Bacteria; Pseudomonadati; Pseudomonadota; Gammaproteobacteria; Enterobacterales; Enterobacteriaceae
Description: partial 23S ribosomal RNA
Rfam family: Bacterial large subunit ribosomal RNA
Source: RNAcentral